AAGAUGUCGGAUGAAAAAUUAGGUCAGUAUCUGUAUUGUCUGUUAAAGUGUUUCUAUAUCAUUUUCUUUACAAAUCAUAUGUUGAUACGAUGUAAAUUUAUAAAAGAUUCACACGGAAAUCACUAAUGACUACCGAGAAAUGUGCAUGAAACAGAAAUUUCGAUUUGAAAAAAUCGCCAAGAUGACCGUAAAUCACAAUCGAGAUGACCGUAACA
Molecule: long non-coding RNA, 215 nt
Filed under: Mytilus galloprovincialis (Mediterranean mussel)
Lineage: Eukaryota; Metazoa; Mollusca; Bivalvia; Mytilida; Mytilidae
Source: RNAcentral